CGUGAAACCGUCCAGGGGUAAACCUGCGAAACUCGAAUGAACGAACGGAGAGAUUCAUCGUCAUUCCUCGGCGCACUCGCGUCGGCUCGAUGUCCUCGGCCUCGGUCGGCGGGCACGGGUCGCGUGUGUAGCGUCCGGGGACGGCGUGCACUUCUCUCUUAGUAAUACAUCGCGACCCGUUCGAUGUCGGUCUAAGUGCCCUUCGGGAGUCUAAACUUCCUUGUGUCGAGUAGACCGGAGGUGUCACCGACCGGCCGUCGGACGGUAUAACAUAGGAAACGCGCACGCGCUUGUCGCGUCCGGCCCGACGCAAGGCAACGUCGUAUCCCUCGUCCUGCCCGAGUGCGGACGGGGGUGCGGCGCGCCUGUCGCUCGCUGCCGUGAGUCUCGGACUGUGCGCGUGUCCGUCUGCGA
This 414-nucleotide ribosomal RNA is filed under the name Ornithospila submonstrans. RNAcentral's name for it is "eukaryotic LSU rRNA". Lineage: Eukaryota; Metazoa; Arthropoda; Insecta; Lepidoptera; Geometridae. The record is from RNAcentral.